GUACUGGGGAGAGACGCGGCGCGGCCGCCUGGCGCCGCCGACAGUCGGGGACGGGGACGGGGACGGAGACAGGUGUGUUGAUGUGACCCACACCGUGGCAGUACUCUGAUUAAUGACAGUCAUGUGGUGAAAGGCAACAAGAAUGACCAUUACUGUAAGGCUGCGUGAAAAGAUAUCGCAGGCAUUCUACAACUACGGCCUCUUCUGUGCAUCUUACCCCAUCCCCAUCAUCUUUUUCACCGCUGGCUGUAUCUUAACAUGCUGUUAUCCGUUAUUGAAGCUACCUCUGCCAGGAACGGGGCCAGUGGAGUUUACAACACCUAUCAAGGAUUACAUCGCGCCCCCCAUCGAAGCAAACCGUGGACCCAGCGAGCAGAGUGAUAGACCAGAUUGG
Long non-coding RNA from Leucoraja erinaceus (little skate), 394 nucleotides. RefSeq lists it as uncharacterized. The record is from RefSeq and is a predicted model, not a curated record. The transcript is spliced from 3 exons. Lineage: Eukaryota; Metazoa; Chordata; Chondrichthyes; Rajiformes; Rajidae.